AUACAUGCAAGUUGAACGCAACAAAGACACCAGAGCUUGCUCUACCGUCUUUGUUGAGUAGCGAACGGGUGAGUAACGCGUGGGUAACCUGCCUUAUAGCGGGGGAUAACUAUUGGAAACGAUAGCUAAUACCGCAUAACAAUAGAGAUUGCAUAAUCUUUAUUUGAAAGUGCCAACUGGUACACUAUGAGAUGGACCCGCGUUGUAUUAGCUAGUUGGUAGUGUAAUGGACUACCAAGGCGAUGAUACAUAGCCGACCUGAGAGGGUGAUCGGCCACAUUGGGACUGAGACACGGCCCAAACUCCUACGGGAGGCAGCAGUAGGGAAUCUUCGGCAAUGGACGAAAGUCUGACCGAGCAACGCCGCGUGAGUGAAGAAGGUUUUCGGAUCGUAAAACUCUGUUGUUAGAGAAGAAUGUUGAUUAGAGUGGAAAAUUAAUCAAGUGACGGUAUCUAACCAGAAAGGGACGGCUAACUACGUGCCAGCAGCCGCGGUAAUACGUAGGUCCCGAGCGUUGUCCGGAUUUAUUGGGCGUAAAGCGAGCGCAGGUGGUUUAAUAAGUCUGAUGUAAAAGGCAGUGGCUCAGCCAUUGUGUGCAUUGGAAACUGUUAGACUUGAGUGCAGUAGAGGAGAGUGGAAUUCCAUGUGUAGCGGUGAAAUGCGUAGAUAUAUGGAGGAACACCGGUGGCGAAAGCGGCUCUCUGGACUGUCACUGACACUGAGGCUCGA
This 730-nucleotide ribosomal RNA is filed under the name uncultured bacterium. Its description in RNAcentral is "bacterial SSU rRNA". It matches the Rfam family "Bacterial small subunit ribosomal RNA", at positions 51 to 756 of the family's 1533-position model. The record is from RNAcentral.